RNAcentral lists this ribosomal RNA (538 nucleotides) under uncultured bacterium. Its description in RNAcentral is "partial 16S ribosomal RNA". It matches the Rfam family "Bacterial small subunit ribosomal RNA", at positions 355 to 883 of the family's 1533-position model. The record is from RNAcentral.
UGGGGAAUUUUGGGACAAUGGGGGAAACCCUGAUCCAGCCAUCCCGCGUGUGCGAUGAAGGCCUUCGGGUUGUAAAGCACUUUUGGCAGGAAAGAAACGUCGCGGGUUAAUACCCCGCGAAACUGACGGUACCUGCAGAAUAAGCACCGGCUAACUACGUGCCAGCAGCCGCGGUAAUACGUAGGGUGCAAGCGUUAAUCGGAAUUACUGGGCGUAAAGCGUGCGCAGGCGGUUCGGAAAGAAAGAUGUGAAAUCCCAGAGCUUAACUUUGGGAACUGCAUUUUUAACUACCGGGCUAGAGUGUGUCAGAGGGAGGUGGAAUUCCGCGUGUAGCAGUGAAAUGCGUAGAUAUGCGGAGGAACACCGAUGGCGAAGGCAGCCUCCUGGGAUAACACUGACGCUCAUGCACGAAAGCGUGGGGAGCAAACAGGAUUAGAUACCCUGGUAGUCCACGCCCUAAACGAUGUCAACUAGCUGUUGGGGGCCUUCGGGCCUUGGUAGCGCAGCUAACGCGUGAAGUUGACCGCCUGGGGAGUAC